Molecule: long non-coding RNA, 334 nt
Organism: Prosopis cineraria
Lineage: Eukaryota; Viridiplantae; Streptophyta; Magnoliopsida; Fabales; Fabaceae
Exons: 3
Source: RefSeq, a predicted model, not a curated record
CCAGCUGCCGCUAACCCACCACCAGGAAGUUGUCACUACUAACAUGUUUACAGUGGAAUGGAACCCAGAUGAGUGACUAGCCGUUUGUCUUGUCCCACUUUUGGGCAUUUAAAAGAAGAAGAAGAAGAAGUUUCUUGAAUCUGCUGUUGCUGCAUAGAAAGAUAGUCUCGUGCUUGAUCUGUGUUGGAGCAAUAAGGAAAGCUGAUUAUUGCUGGGAGAUCGAAGGUUAAUACCUUGAAAUCGCAAAGUUCCACAUCAACUACUUGUAUUCUCACCUUUCAGAAUAUAGAGAGCGACCAGAAAAAAGAAAGAAACAUUUACCGACCUUAUUGAA